RNAcentral lists this ribosomal RNA (395 nucleotides) under uncultured bacterium. RNAcentral's name for it is "bacterial SSU rRNA". It matches the Rfam family "Bacterial small subunit ribosomal RNA", at positions 29 to 408 of the family's 1533-position model. The record is from RNAcentral.
AACGAACGCUGGCGGCGUGGAUAAGACAUGCAAGUCGAACGGGACAACAUCUGUAGCAAUACAGGUGUUGUUUAGUGGCGAACGGGUGCGUAACACGUGGGCAAUCUGCCGAGAAGUGGGGGAUAGCUCGCCGAAAGGCGAAUUAAUACCGCAUAUGAUCAGUGAAGACAUCGUCACGACAUCAAAGCCGGGGCAACCUGGCGCUUCUUGAUGAGCCCGCGGCCUAUCAGCUAGUUGGUGAGGUAACGGCUCACCAAGGCUAUGACGGGUAGCUGGUCUGAGAGGACGACCAGUCACACUGGAACUGAGACACGGUCCAGACACCUACGGGUGGCAGCAGUCGAGUAAUUUUUCUCAAGUGGGGCAACCCUGAAGGAGCGACGCCGCGUGGAGGA